Tetranychus urticae (two-spotted spider mite) is the source of this 1200-nucleotide non-coding RNA. NCBI's taxonomy places the organism in Eukaryota, Metazoa, Arthropoda, Arachnida, Trombidiformes, Tetranychidae. The record is from RefSeq and is a predicted model, not a curated record.
AUGAUUUAAGGCCAGUUUAUUUUAAAUUGUUUAGUCAAAUCAAACUGAAAGUCAAAAGUAGAAAUUUUGAGUUUAAUAGCGCCAUCUAUUGACUAUAAUAUUAAGUUUUAAGGAUUGUUGAUUAUCAUGAUUAAUGAUAUUGCUAUUAAUAUUGUAACGAUUAAGGUUGAGAUGGCGAUGAAGGUUGUCACUCCCUAUUAAGACCAACACGAAAGGCAAAGGCACUAAUAUGAGAUACAACUUUAUUGAGGGGUGUAUUGGAUUCGACAGCGUGUGCGUAUUUGAUAACAUGGGGCACAUUGAGGUAAAUAUUAAUCAUUGAUAAUCAGUGAAUGGCCAGAGUUGGAUAGAGAUUUGAUCAAGGAUAUGGGUGAGAAAAAGAUUUAGAAGUAGAUUCUGUUAAUCGUGAAUUUCCUCCUGAAAUAUCAAUAGACUUUUAACGUCUUAUCGUGCCAAAUCACCAAACAAUAAACUCACACAAAUAUCAGCUCAAAUGAUUAAAUAAAAUUUUAUCAGAUUUAGGUUCGAUUCUGAGACUUAUCAAAAGUCCAAUCUAAUACAUUUGUAAAUCGAAAAACAAAGGAAAGAAAAGGUUACAAAUUUGACUAAUUCUGUAAAUUGUGACUGCAAUUAAUUUUCAACUAUUGCUGACAUUUUAGACAACAGUUAAUAGAUUUUAAAUUUUUGCUAUUCGAGUUGUUAAUUAAUAUCUUAGCAACAAACCAGUAUCAUAGAAGUGCUGGAAAUUUGAAAAUUUAUCUUUUUGACUAAACAUUAAUAAUUGUAUUUAGAGAAACCAAUAUUUUUGAUGAUUCGAGCACCCAGUGACCCAUGAUUUUUAGCAGUGUUCAACAUGUUUGAUCAACUUGUAAUAUCAUAUCAAAUGGUGAAGUUAAACUACUGCAGAAAUCGCAGAAACAAUACAAUUUACAACUCUUUAAUCGAGGCCUAAUCGUUUAUUGGUUAAAGUGUACACUUAAAGAAGGAUUAAAUCUAAAUCCUAUGACAACUUAUGCUUCAGUGAAGGCUCUAUGGCUAAUGAUUUACUGAAAGCUUGAAAAGUCCAUGUGAUGUAUUUUAUGAUGGACCACCUGAUUGCUUUGAACCAUCGGAAUCAAGAAACAAGUAUCAUAUUUUACUCAAAGUGACUAAAUUUGUUCCUUCAUUCGACUCGUAAUUAAAGUUUUAUGGCAAUUGUGA